Molecule: long non-coding RNA, 1030 nt
Organism: Erinaceus europaeus (western European hedgehog)
Lineage: Eukaryota; Metazoa; Chordata; Mammalia; Eulipotyphla; Erinaceidae
Exons: 2
Source: RefSeq, a predicted model, not a curated record
AUCAACACACAAUACUAGGAAAAAGGAGCAUGGAAAAUGCUAACAGAUGAUAAUGAGUUAAAUAUUCUCCGUUUCUAAAUCUAGACAACUUUGAAUCAAGAAUAAGUUAGAGUUUGGUGCAUGCUGGUGGAAAAGGAUCUGAUUUGGAGAUGCUGAUGGAAUUGGAGUUCAGAACCGUCUGGUUACCUUCCCCUGAUCACUUUUCUCCUACAGAGAGUAAGGACCAAAAUUAUGUGUGGAGUACAGAAGGUGGAAGAUCUGGCUUCUGUAGUUGCUUCUCCUCUGGACAUGGGCAUUGGCAUGUUGAUCUAUACCCCCAGCCUUUUUCUGUCCUUCCCUAGUGGGCCAAGGCUCUGAAGAAGUGAUAUUCUAGGAUACUUUGGUGAGGUCUUCUUCCCAAGGAAGUCAGGAUGGAAUCAUGAUAGCAUCUGCAACUUGGUGGUUGAAAGGCAGCAAAAUAUAAAGGAAGACAAAUUUAUUAAUGAAUAAGAACCAAAAAGUAGGAAAUAAGCAUAUGAGAAUAGAGACCUUAUGGUGGAAAAAAGCUAGGAAGUCUAUCUUAGGUAUGUUCCUAAGAAGCCCAGGACUUUUGUACUUUUUGUUUCUUUUUUUAAACUUUAUUUAUAAAAUAAAAAAUAGAAAAUGUCGACAAAACCAUAGGCUAAGAGGGGUAAAAUUCUUCACAUUUCCCACCACCAUAGUUCCAUAUCCCAUCUCCAUCCACUGGAAGCUUUCCUAUUCUUUAACCCUCUGGGAGUAUGGACCCAGGAUCAUUAUGGGGGGCAGAAGGUGGAAAGUCUGGCUUCUGUAAUUGGGUCUCCACUGAACGUGAGCAUUGGCAGGUCGAUCCAUACUUCCAACCGGUUUCUAUCUUUCCCUAGUGGGGCAGGGCUCUGGAGAAAUAGGGUAACAGGGUACAUUGGUGAGGUGGUCUGCCUGGGAGAGUCAGAUUGGUGUCAUGGCAGUAUCUGCAACUUGGUGUCUGAAAAAACAUUAAGAUGUAAAGAACAAAUUGUUUAAUAAUCUGUAA